This is a long non-coding RNA of Erinaceus europaeus (western European hedgehog), 842 nucleotides long. RefSeq lists it as uncharacterized. The transcript is spliced from 2 exons. NCBI's taxonomy places the organism in Eukaryota, Metazoa, Chordata, Mammalia, Eulipotyphla, Erinaceidae. The record is from RefSeq and is a predicted model, not a curated record.
CGUCUACCUCUAACUGACACAAUCCAGGAUCAGGACCUUGAGACCAAAAAAAUCUAACUACAGGAUCUCAGGUGGUUUUUAAGUGUCACCUCUCGCCACAACAUCAGUCUCACCUUCCUACUGAUGGAAGACAGAGGAGAGGCCAUUAUCAACAACAGGAGUUAAAGCCUCCAGAUACUAAGGAAGCACACAGCAAUAGUCUCACACUCUACCAAAUGUUUAAUUACUUUCUACAAUGACUGAGUUUUGAAGAAAAAGCAACACAAUGAAAAAAAGAUGCAAUGACUGGUUUCUGGAAAAUGCUACAAAGAAACUAGCCAGUGACAUGCCUCUCCUCUGAGCUGGGGAAUGCAUCCCAAGGAAAUAAAUCAGAAGGAGCAAAUGCUGCUGGUCCUGAAGAAGUUACACUGCAAAGUCUGUAGGAGUGGUUGAGUGGAGGAUGGCAAAUCCUUUGGUGAAAAUGUUACAUCUUUAUGGAAUAGUGUUUGGAGGAACUUAAUGUCAGCUCAUGUCACUAUGUGUUUCAGGUGUUACCCAUGUCACAUCACUCCUCAAGUUUCUGUUUCUACCCAUCUUCCUAGUGCACCUUAUUACAUGUCUCCCUCCACUUCUGUUCAAUAAUAACCACCAUUAUAGAGUCUGUGUAAUAGGGGAAAAUGUUUACAACACAAUGCCUGGGUCUGUGUCAGAGUUCAGAUAGUGGAGGUACAAACACUACCAAAACAUCCACCCUCUUGGAUACAGAUAUGACAACAUUUACUUUUUUUUUUUUUUUUGCAAAGCUUGCUUGGGUAAUUUCAUCACUAGGGCCACUCAUUCAUUCAUUCAUUCAUUCAUUCAUU